RNAcentral lists this transfer RNA (50 nucleotides) under Metacrangonyx sp. 4 MDMBR-2012. RNAcentral's name for it is "transfer RNA Valine". The record is from RNAcentral. Lineage: Eukaryota; Metazoa; Arthropoda; Malacostraca; Amphipoda; Metacrangonyctidae.
AGGAGUGGUUUUUAUUACUUACAAUAAUAAAGUCCCUUGUGGCACUUCUA